CCUACGGGAGGCAGCAGUGAGGAAUAUUGGUCAAUGGGCGCGAGCCUGAACCAGCCAAGUAGCGUGAAGGAUGACUGCUCUACGGGUUGUAAACUUCUUUUAUAAAGGAAUAAAGUGAGGCACGUGUGCCUUUUUGUAUGUACUUUAUGAUUCAGGAUCGGCUAACACCGUGCCAGCAGCCGCGGUAAUACGGAGGGUCCGAGCGUUAUCCGGAAUUAUUGGGUUUAAAGGGAGCGUAGUUGGGUUGUUAAGUCAGUUGUGAAAGUUUGCGGCUCAACCGUAAAACUGCAAUUGAUACUGGCAGCCUUGAGUACAGGUGAGGUAGGCGGAAUUCGUGGUGUAGCGGUGAAAUGCUUAGAUAUCACGAAGAACUCCGAUUGCGAAGACAGCUUACUAAACUGCCACUGACAUUGAUGCUCGAAAGUGUGGGUAUCAAACAGGAUUAGAUACCCCUGUAGUC
This 460-nucleotide ribosomal RNA is filed under the name uncultured bacterium. Its description in RNAcentral is "partial 16S ribosomal RNA". It matches the Rfam family "Bacterial small subunit ribosomal RNA", at positions 338 to 795 of the family's 1533-position model. The record is from RNAcentral.